This 327-nucleotide ribosomal RNA is filed under the name uncultured eukaryote. Its description in RNAcentral is "partial 18S ribosomal RNA". It matches the Rfam family "Eukaryotic small subunit ribosomal RNA", at positions 1470 to 1796 of the family's 1831-position model. The record is from RNAcentral.
CCCUUAGAUGUUCUGGGCCGCACGCGCGCUACACUGAUUCAUGCAACAAGUUUUGUCCUUGGCUGAUAGGCCUGGGUAAUCUUUGAACGUGAAUCGUGAUGGGGAUAGAUGAUUGCAAUUAUUCAUCUUCAACGAGGAAUUCCUAGUAAACGCAAGUCAUCAGCUUGCAUUGAUUACGUCCCUGCCCUUUGUACACACCGCCCGUCGCACCUACCGAUUGUAUGGUCCGGUGAAAUCUUCGGAUCUGAGAGAUGUCUGAUUAAUUUCGGACGCCUUUUGGAAAAGUUGCUUAAACCUUACCAUUUAGAGGAAGGUGAAGUCGUAACA